AAAGCAGUUAAAUAAAUUUGAAGAAAAAUUAAUUAGAAUAAGCUCAGAUUUAGGCACGGAUUUUUCCUCGUCUUUAAACUGAUCCUCGAAAUUAGAUGAACUCCUCUUCUCCAAUAAGCUAGUUAUAGCUACCGAGGACGCCUAGGACACCAACUCUUCCUUGUGUAAAUUAGUUAUGGAACGUCCAAUAACUAACCCUUACCGAUUGAACAACCACGAAACAUUCGUGAUUUAGAACUCCGGCAACUUUGCGCUCUAGAAGAGCCUAUCUCGAACCAAUGCCUUCAACCGCGUGGGACAUUUAAAUCCGGUUACUACUUCCC
This 323-nucleotide long non-coding RNA is filed under the name Gossypium barbadense (sea-island cotton). RNAcentral's name for it is "long non-coding RNA (GBAR_LNC017710)". The record is from RNAcentral. Lineage: Eukaryota; Viridiplantae; Streptophyta; Magnoliopsida; Malvales; Malvaceae.